This 754-nucleotide ribosomal RNA is filed under the name uncultured Diversispora. RNAcentral's name for it is "SSU rRNA". It matches the Rfam family "Eukaryotic small subunit ribosomal RNA", at positions 339 to 1092 of the family's 1831-position model. Lineage: Eukaryota; Fungi; Glomeromycota; Glomeromycetes; Diversisporales; Diversisporaceae. The record is from RNAcentral.
GCCUACCAUGGUUUUAACGGGUAACGGGGAAUUAGGGUUCGAUUCCGGAGAGGGAGCCUGAGAAACGGCUACCACAUCCAAGGAAGGCAGCAGGCGCGCAAAUUACCCAAUCCCGACACGGGGAGGUAGUGACAAUAAAUAACAAUACGGGGCUUAUUUGGGUCUCGUAAUUGGAAUGAGUACAAUUUAAAUCCCUUAACGAGGAACAAUUGGAGGGCAAGUCUGGUGCCAGCAGCCGCGGUAAUUCCAGCUCCAAUAGCGUAUAUUAAAGUUGUUGCAGUUAAAAAGCUCGUAGUUGAACUUCGGGGUCUACCCAUUGGUCAGGCUUAAUUGUCUGCACUGGUGAGAUGGAUCUCUACCUUCUGAGGAACUUUCAUGCCAUUUAUUUGGUGUGAUGGGAAAUCAGGACUGUUACUUUGAAAAAAUUAGAGUGUUUAAAGCAGACUAUCGUCUGAAUACAUUAGCAUGGAAUAAUGAAAUAGGACGGACUGAUUCUAUUUCGUUGGUUUCUAGGAUCACCGUAAUGAUUAAUAGGGAUAGUUGGGGGCAUUAGUAUUCAAUUGUCAGAGGUGAAAUUCUUGGAUUUAUUGAAGACUAACUACUGCGAAAGCAUUUGCCAAGGAUGUUUUCAUUAAUCAAGAACGAAAGUUAGGGGAUCGAAGACGAUCAGAUACCGUCGUAGUCUUAACCAUAAACUAUGCCGACUAGGGAUCGGACGAAGUUAAUUUUAUAAUGACGCGUUCGGCACCUUACG